GACGAACGCUGGCGGCGUGCUUAACACAUGCAAGUCGAACGGAAAGGCCCUGCUUUUGUGGGGUGCUCGAGUGGCGAACGGGUGAGUAACACGUGAGUAACCUUCCCUUGACUUUGGGAUAACUUCAGGAAACUGGGGCUAAUACCGGAUAGGAGCUCCUGCUGCAUGGUGGGGGUUGGAAAGUUUCGGCGGUUGGGGAUGGACUCGCGGCUUAUCAGCUUGUUGGUGGGGUAGUGACUUACCAAGGCUUUGACGGGUAGCCGGCCUGAGAGGGUGACCGGCCACAUUGGGACUGAGAUACGGCCCAGACUCGUACGGGAGGCAAGAGUGGGGAAUAUUGCACAAUGGGCGGAAGCCUGAUGCAGCAACGCCGCGUGCGGGAUGACGGCCUUCGGGUUGUGAACCGCUUUCGCCUGUGACGAAGCGUGAGUGACGGUAAUGGGUAAAGAAGCACCGGCUAACUACGUG
This 468-nucleotide ribosomal RNA is filed under the name uncultured bacterium. RNAcentral describes it as "partial 16S ribosomal RNA". It matches the Rfam family "Bacterial small subunit ribosomal RNA", at positions 28 to 507 of the family's 1533-position model. The record is from RNAcentral.